This 253-nucleotide ribosomal RNA is filed under the name uncultured bacterium. RNAcentral's name for it is "partial 16S ribosomal RNA". It matches the Rfam family "Bacterial small subunit ribosomal RNA", at positions 524 to 776 of the family's 1533-position model. The record is from RNAcentral.
UACGGGGGGAGCAAGCGUUGUUCGGAUUUACUGGGCGUAAAGGGCGCGUAGGCGGCGCAAUAAGUCACUUGUGAAAUCUCCGGGCUUAACCCGGAGCGGCCAAGUGAUACUGUCGUGCUAGAGUGCGGAAGGGGCUGCUGGAAUUCUCGGUGUAGCGGUGAAAUGCGUAGAUAUCGAGAGGAACACCUGCGGCGAAGGCGGGUAGCUGGGCCGACACUGACGCUGAGGCGCGAAGGCCAGGGGAGCGAACGGG